Molecule: ribosomal RNA, 1361 nt
Filed under: uncultured bacterium
Lineage: Bacteria
Description: bacterial SSU rRNA
Rfam family: Bacterial small subunit ribosomal RNA
Source: RNAcentral
AUUGAACGCUGGCGGCAGGCCUAACACAUGCAAGUCGAGCGGUAGCACAGAGAGCUUGCUCUCGGGUGACGAGCGGCGGACGGGUGAGUAAUGUCUGGGAAACUGCCUGAUGGAGGGGGAUAACUACUGGAAACGGUAGCUAAUACCGCAUAAUGUCGCAAGACCAAAGUGGGGGACCUUCGGGCCUCAUGCCAUCAGAUGUGCCCAGAUGGGAUUAGCUAGUAGGUGGGGUAACGGCUCACCUAGGCGACGAUCCCUAGCUGGUCUGAGAGGAUGACCAGCCACACUGGAACUGAGACACGGUCCAGACUCCUACGGGAGGCAGCAGUGGGGAAUAUUGCACAAUGGGCGCAAGCCUGAUGCAGCCAUGCCGCGUGUGUGAAGAAGGCCUUCGGGUUGUAAAGCACUUUCAGCGGGGAGGAAGGCGAUAAGGUUAAUAACCCUGUCGAUUGACGUUACCCGCAGAAGAAGCACCGGCUAACUCCGUGCCAGCAGCCGCGGUAAUACGGAGGGUGCAAGCGUUAAUCGGAAUUACUGGGCGUAAGGCGCACGCAGGCGGUCUGUCAAGUCGGAUGUGAAAUCCCCGGGCUCAACCUGGGAACUGCAUUCGAAACUGGCAGGCUAGAGUCUUGUAGAGGGGGGUAGAAUUCCAGGUGUAGCGGUGAAAUGCGUAGAGAUCUGGAGGAAUACCGGUGGCGAAGGCGGCCCCCUGGACAAAGACUGACGCUCAGGUGCGAAAGCGUGGGGAGCAAACAGGAUUAGAUACCCUGGUAGUCCACGCCGUAAACGAUGUCGAUUUGGAGGUUGUGCCCUUGAGGCGUGGCUUCCGGAGCUAACGCGUUAAAUCGACCGCCUGGGGAGUACGGCCGCAAGGUUAAAACUCAAAUGAAUUGACGGGGGCCCGCACAAGCGGUGGAGCAUGUGGUUUAAUUCGAUGCAACGCGAAGAACCUUACCUGGUCUUGACAUCCACAGAACUUAGCAGAGAUGCUUUGGUGCCUUCGGGAACUGUGAGACAGGUGCUGCAUGGCUGUCGUCAGCUCGUGUUGUGAAAUGUUGGGUUAAGUCCCGCAACGAGCGCAACCCUUAUCCUUUGUUGCCAGCGGUUAGGCCAGGAACUCAAAGGAGACUGCCAGUGAUAAACUGGAGGAAGGUGGGGAUGACGUCAAGUCAUCAUGGCCCUUACGACCAGGGCUACACACGUGCUACAAUGGCAUAUACAAAGAGAAGCGACCUCGCGAGAGCAAGCGGACCUCAUAAAGUAUGUCGUAGUCCGGAUUGGAGUCUGCAACUCGACUCCAUGAAGUCGGAAUCGCUAGUAAUCGUAGAUCAGAAUGCUACGGUGAAUACGUUCCCGGGCCU